Molecule: ribosomal RNA, 486 nt
Filed under: uncultured bacterium
Lineage: Bacteria
Description: partial 16S ribosomal RNA
Rfam family: Bacterial small subunit ribosomal RNA
Source: RNAcentral
GAUGAACGCUGGCGGCGUGCCUAAUACAUGCAAGUCGAACGCUGGAAAUCUAGCUUGCUCGAUUGAAGGCGUGGCGCACGGGUGAGUAAUACAUAAGCAACCUACCCACGAAGACUGGGAUAAUCUCUGGAAACGGGGACUAAUACCGGAUAGGUAAUCGGAAGGCAUCUUCUGAUUAUUAAAGGUUAAAAACACUGGUGGAUGGGCUUAUGGCGCAUUAGUUAGUUGGUGAGGUAACGGCCCACCAAGACGAUGAUGCGUAGCCGGCCUGAGAGGGUGAACGGCUAGAUUGGGACUGAGACACGGACCAGACUCGUACGGGAGGCAGCAGUAGGGAAGUUUCGGCAAGGGGGGAAACCCUGACCGAGCAACGCCGCGUGAGUGAGGACGGCCUUCGGGGUGUAAAGCUCUGUUGUAAGGGAAGAACGGUAGAUAGAGAAUAUCUAAAUGACGGUACCUUACCAGAAAGCCACGGCUAACUACGUG